RNAcentral lists this ribosomal RNA (492 nucleotides) under uncultured bacterium. Its description in RNAcentral is "partial 16S ribosomal RNA". It matches the Rfam family "Bacterial small subunit ribosomal RNA", at positions 29 to 507 of the family's 1533-position model. The record is from RNAcentral.
AGUGAACGCUGGCGGUAGGCCUAACACAUGCAAGUCGAACGGCAGCACAGUAAGAGCUUGCUCUUACGGGUGGCGAGUGGCGGACGGGUGAGGAAUACAUCGGAAUCUACUUUUUCGUGGGGGAUAAUGUAGGGAAACUUACGCUAAUACCGCAUACGACCUACGGGUGAAAGCAGGGGAUCUUCGGACCUUGCGCGAUUGAAUGAGCCGAUGUCGGAUUAGCUAGUUGGCGGGGUAAAGGCCCACCAAGGCGACGAUCCGUAGCUGGUCUGAGAGGAUGAUCCGCCCCACUGGAACUGAGACACGGUCCAGACUCCUACGGGAGGCGGCAGUGGGGAAUAUUGGACAAUGGGCGCAAGCCUGAUCCAGCCAUACCGCGUGGGUGAAGAAGGCCUUCGGGUUGUAAAGCCCUUUUGUUGGGAAAGAAAAGCAGCAGGUUAAUACCCCGCUGUUCUGACGGUACCCAAAGAAUAAGCACCGGCUAACUUCGUG